AAGAACAUUCGGUAGGUGAGGCUACCACAGGGAUAAGGGUUACUGCCGGUUAAAAGUGGAGACACUUCUAAUCAGGUUAGCAGUCUGUGUCGGAUUAAGGCGCAGAAUAAUGUAAUUUUCAGGCCCUGUGAAGCUAAAGCUUGAACGGAUAGUGAUA
Clostridium sp. CAG:299 is the source of this 157-nucleotide regulatory RNA element. It matches the Rfam family "M-box riboswitch aptamer (ykoK leader)". From Rfam's summary of the family: M-box riboswitch, also know as ykoK leader is described as a metaloregulatory RNA that sense divalent metals and function as a genetic control element of genes related to divalent metal transport in bacteria. The record is from Rfam. Lineage: Bacteria; Bacillati; Bacillota; Clostridia; Eubacteriales; Clostridiaceae.